Molecule: ribosomal RNA, 301 nt
Filed under: uncultured bacterium
Lineage: Bacteria
Description: partial 16S ribosomal RNA
Rfam family: Bacterial small subunit ribosomal RNA
Source: RNAcentral
CAGUAGCCACGGGAAUACGAAGGGUGCAAGCGUUACUCGGAAUUACUGGGCGUAAAGCGUGCGUAGGUGGUGGUUUAAGUCCGUUGUGAAAGCCCUGGGCUCAACCUGGGAAUUGCAGUGGAUACUGGCAAGCUAGAGUGUGUCAGAGGAUGGUGGAAUUCCCGGUGUAGCGGUGAAAUGCGUAGAGAUCGGGAGGAACAUCAGUGGCGAAGGCGGCCAUCUGGGACAACACUGACGCUGAGGCACGAAAGCGUGGGGAGCAAACAGGAUUAGAUACCCCGGUAGUCCUGUCUCUUAUACA